GUUCCUGGCAGGACGCCGGGCAGAGGCGGAGGCAGUGCUGAAGGCAGACAACGCACUGAGCGAGGCCGAGAAGCAGCUGGAGGACCAGAAGCAGCAGGCGCAGCUCCUGGAGCAGCAGCAGAAGGCGACGGCGGAGCGCGAACGGCAGCUAGAGGCGCUGCUGGCGGACGAGCGCAGCAGCUACGAGCAGAACCUGCAAGCACUGGAGGCCAAGAUGCAGGCGGAGGCGGCGAGCACGCAGCAGGAGCUGAACCGGGCGCUGGAGGCGAAGCUACGGGAGCACAACGAGCUGCUGCAGCGCGGCUUCAGAGAGCGGGCGGCGCUGAUGGAGCAGGAGGUGGCGGCGCUGCGGCGGGAGAUGAACACCACCAACAACCAGGAGCUGGCGGCCAACGCCCUCGACGCCGUGCGCGCCGCCUGCGACCUCGCCAGCGUGGUAAAGAUGACCAGAGCGUUACGGGGUACAGCGGUGUAAGCUACUGCACACCAAUCAACCUCCGCCCGCCCCUGCUCGGCGGCCAAAUAAAGCGCUCCUCCCGCAGCCCCGCUACCCGCGCUCCUCUCUUGCGACGCUUCCGGCGCGAUGACGUCAUAACCUGGGCGACCGGACCCAUCCGCGCCCCCUUGCGGCCGUACCGCGGCGCGGCGCUGGGAGGGAAGGAACGAGGGAAGGAGCGAAACCUCGCGGCAGGGGAUUGGGUGGGGCGAUCUCGCGAGAGGGUGGGUUUUCCGGCUUCUUCCGGCUGGCGGUCGUGGUACUCACUUCCGGGUGUUGCGUGUGUGCGGGUGGCAGUGAGGUGAGAGAGGGCGCUCGGAGCGUCCCUGGGCCAGAAGCGCCUAGGAGAGCGACUAGGUUUGGGGACCGAGGCCUAAGCGCCAGGUCCAGGGCUCGGAACCAGGGCCAGGGAACGAGAGUCAGAACCGGGGACCACGGCCAGGCCUUGGGCCAGAGAUCAGGGCCCCAGUUCCGACACCAGGCCCUAAGCCUGGGAAUCGGGACUCACGGUCAGGGGCUGAGAUCCAGAGACCGGACCUAGGGCCCAGGAACCGACCCCGGGGAGCAGGCAGUUAGGCUAGGAAGUGAGGACCAGCCCUGGAAACUAGGCCCAGAGCCCAGGGUUGGGCCUAGGAGAGCGACUAGGUUUGGGGACUGAGGCACAGGGACCGAGGUCCAGGGCUCGGAACGUGCUCCUACAAGUCAGCCAUAAGACAGAGCCCAGGGACCAGCACAGAGCCACACCAAGUGACUGCUUUUGUUGUUGUAAGAACACAAGUAAGCGGUAACUUCCAUAACAAGGCAAGCACCAGAUGCACACCAAAGCAGGAGGCAACAAGGCUCCCAGCCCUUCCUGGCUCCCAGUCCCAGUCACUGUGGAAAACUGGAUCCUUUGAAAACUCUUCAUCUUUCACUUAUCUACUCUAACCUGAGCUGGAGCCCGCUUUGUGCCUGUAAUGCAAUGGGAUGCGCCACAAGGCAGC
This 1479-nucleotide long non-coding RNA is filed under the name Numida meleagris (helmeted guineafowl). RNAcentral's name for it is "lncRNA (ENSNMEG00000001429.1)". The record is from RNAcentral. Lineage: Eukaryota; Metazoa; Chordata; Aves; Galliformes; Numididae.